CCGAGAAAUCAACCAUGUUACCGCAACGUGUUCAAAAACCAGCAUCAUUCAUUUUAUUGACCCAUCAUCUCGAACCUCUUGAACGCGUCGCCACUCACCUCGAGUGCCUCUUUUACCACCGCCCCAGAACCCCACCUAUUCUUACCCGGAGGCAAUUCAGUAGCGUUGUCGUCUAACGACAGCGUAAUGAAAAAAAUAAUUCGACAAGCACCACUUAAAAAUCCGCAAUCAAAGCAUAUGACGCACCGACCCCAUUGAUGUUUAACCCAAUUUAAGGCAAGAAGAGCCCCGCCGUCAUUAUCCGAGGAGUCUCACUUCCUCAGUAUCUGCUAUAUACCGUCACGGCACUCUCACGCGUAUAACAGUGGGUAGGGGGUGUAAAGAAGGAUUCGCUGCCUGCAAAGCAUUGAACACAAAACAGUUUUUCAUCUUGUCUGUUCUAUAUUUGUGUCUGUGCGAUUAUUAAUAUAUUAUUAUGGGUGAAAAAAAUUAGACAUAGUACCGGGAACCGCUAUACCGGCGUGCGUAGAGCCCGGGUACCCCUUUUCUUCUAAUCGCAAACACAUCGAACCAGAGAAUCUGUCGUCAUACGCCGGGCGUUGCUGCGACGUUGCCGCGGUGCGUCAGAAUCGCUCGUUCACGUUCCACGUUUUUAUUAUUGAUUUAAGACGAGGGACAAGAUGCGGUAUCCAUGGCAACGUCGGACCCAGGGCAAAGUCGCGAAAGGAGUGAGAGAAAGACAGGGAGCAAAACGAGUGAUGGUGAGGAAUUGCGCGCGGAGAGGAAUGGUGAUGCUGCUCGCCGUGGUGGAUAGGACGUGCCACGCCCAAGAGGUGGCGCGCUGCUGCGGAUGCACUGCGUUUUUCCCUUACACUAUGCACACUGUUCGCCCGACAACGAGGCUUAUGUAUGUAUGCUCCAUACGCUGCGUGACCAGAUGCCCACACGAUAGCGCACUUGACCUCAUCACCCCCGUUAGCCGCAAGUGUAUUGCGAAAAGUAGAGUGUAGGUACUCUCUCGUUGCGCAAUUAUAGGCAUAUAAAACUGUAUGACACGUCAAUAAAAAUUGACGCAUGUACGUACUCUCAGGGGAUUUAAUGCAAAGUAAUACUGCAGUAUGUCACUCGCCUUAAGGGUUUCGCCACACUUGGAUAUUUUCACCUUCCAGUUCAAAGGGUUUUAACGCCGCGACAAUAAAACCGGUCGCACCAAUGCGCCACACUAACGGGAAGAAUACAUAGUACUUUUAUAAUAAUGGAUAUUAUUAAUCGUGUCAUGUAUCAUCACCUAAAUUAUUAUGAAAAGAAUAAUAGCUAUUACUGAAGCACUUGGUGAAUUAGAGCCCCAUGCACGGCUGCACCUGAACUAGAAACAAGAAACUAGCCACACGAGAUCUAUCCUGAUUCCCUAUGAAACACUUGAAUAUACUAUUAGAAUGUUGAUAAAACAUAUUUAUAUAUGUAAUUCAUCUAUAACAUUAAAAUAAUUUUGAUGAAUAAAAAAAAUUAAAUAUUAUCAAAAACAAUGUUUUUAUUCAAUCGUAUGUAAAAAUGUUAAAUGAAAAUAUAAGAAAACCCUUAUCAUUACGCCAUUUCAAUUUUUAAACGACGAUCAACGACAUAAUUGAUCUAGUAUAACAGUUUCUCCAUAACAAUAGAUAUGCUUAAAAUGCACUUCAAUUACAGAAAUCUCAUGAGUACAUAUUAUUAUACCAUAUCAAUUCAUUUUUCUAUUAACAUAGAAAAGAAUGAUGGUAAAUAAAAGAUUUUUUAUUAUUAUUCAUUAACAUAUAGCAAUGAGUCAUUAGUAACUGAAGUGACAAAACAAUUGUGUUGAAAUGGUCAGAAAAAAAAAA
Long non-coding RNA from Acyrthosiphon pisum (pea aphid), 1856 nucleotides. RefSeq lists it as uncharacterized. The record is from RefSeq and is a predicted model, not a curated record. The transcript is spliced from 3 exons. Lineage: Eukaryota; Metazoa; Arthropoda; Insecta; Hemiptera; Aphididae.